AACGAACGCUGGCGGCAUGCCUAACACAUGCAAGUCGAACGAGGCCCUUCGGGGUUUAGUGGCGCACGGGUGCGUAACGCGUGGGAAUCUGCCCUUUGGUUCGGAAUAACAGCUGGAAACGGCUGCUAAUACCGGAUGAUGACGAAAGUCCAAAGAUUUAUCGCCAGAGGAUGAGCCCGCGUUGGAUUAGGUAGUUGGUGGGGUAAAGGCCUACCAAGCCGACGAUCCAUAGCUGGUCUGAGAGGAUGAUCAGCCACACUGGGACUGAGACACGGCCCAGACUCCUACGGGAGGCAGCAGUGGGGAAUAUUGGACAAUGGGCGCAAGCCUGAUCCAGCAAUGCCGCGUGAGUGAUGAAGGCCCUAGGGUUGUAAAGCUCUUUUACCCGGGAAGAUAAUGACUGUACCGGGAGAAUAAGCCCCGGCUAACUCCGUGCCAGCAGG
RNAcentral lists this ribosomal RNA (443 nucleotides) under uncultured bacterium. RNAcentral's name for it is "bacterial SSU rRNA". It matches the Rfam family "Bacterial small subunit ribosomal RNA", at positions 29 to 515 of the family's 1533-position model. The record is from RNAcentral.